GUGAGGAAUAUUGGUCAAUGGGCGCUAGCCUGAACCAGCCAAGUAGCGUGAAGGAUGACUGCCCUAUGGGUUGUAAACUUCUUUUAUAUGGGAAUAAAGUGCAGUAUGUAUACUGCUUUGCAUGUACCUUAUGAAUAAGGAUCGGCUAACUCCGUGCCAGCAGCCGCGGUAAUACGGAGGAUUCGAGCGUUAUCCGGAUUUAUUGGGUUUAAAGGGAGCGUAGGCGGGUUGUUAAGUCAGUUGUGAAAGUUUGCGGCUCAACCGUAAAAUUGCAGUUGAUACUGGCAUCCUUGAGUACAGUAGAGGUAGGCGGAAUUCGUGGUGUAGCGGUGAAAUGCUUAGAUAUCACGAAGAACUCCGAUUGCGAAGGCAGCCUGCUGGACUGUAACUGACGCUGAUGCUCGAAAGUGUGGGUAUCAAACAGG
This 425-nucleotide ribosomal RNA is filed under the name uncultured bacterium. Its description in RNAcentral is "bacterial SSU rRNA". It matches the Rfam family "Bacterial small subunit ribosomal RNA", at positions 354 to 776 of the family's 1533-position model. The record is from RNAcentral.